This is a long non-coding RNA of Girardinichthys multiradiatus, 2532 nucleotides long. RefSeq lists it as uncharacterized. The transcript is spliced from 2 exons. NCBI's taxonomy places the organism in Eukaryota, Metazoa, Chordata, Actinopteri, Cyprinodontiformes, Goodeidae. The record is from RefSeq and is a predicted model, not a curated record.
CAUGUUUUACGUCCAUUCUCUGCCACUGGCACCUUAAUCAGUUUCAUUUGGCCCACCUGCGUUAUGCCUGUCAGUUUCAUUGCUUUCACCUGAGUCAUGCCACAUAUAUCUCUUCUGUCCUGUCUACUCCUUGCAGGAGAAAACCGUUUGUUCAUGGAAAAACCAAGAUUGUCCGUGUCCUUAACUGUUUGCCAUGCCAUGCCAGUCCUGUCCAUGUCUGUGUGUUCUUGCCAUGUCUCCACUUUCAUGCCAAAAUCUGCUACCUCCUGUCUGCUGCUGUCGGGCACAGAUAAGGUGUCUUGGCAGGGAGCUGGAAUGCUGUCCUUCGCCUCACUGUGUGAGAAUCCAGGAAUCUUUGUUCACACUAAGUGGCUGGAACAAUAGAAACGGCUAAAGCAGUUGGGAUGGAAAGCACACAGAAACAUGAAGAGCAGAAAAAUUGUAUCAAGUACUAUCACAGAUUUGUUGUCAGAAGUGAAUGCCAUGUUUCCCCCCCCCCCUCUCAUUUAAUCGUGUUUGAAGGUGGUUCUUUAAUGUAUUUCCUUAUGGGAAAUUCUUAACCUUUAAAUCCCACUAGUCAGAAGUCAUUUUUGUUGUUUUUUUUUUACCUUUGUAAAAUACUUUUUUUGUAUUUCUCCAGUGGGCAAACAUUGUGCCUUUAGCAUUGUGUACACAAUGACUCACUCAGUAAGAACUAAAGAACAAAAUACUACUAAAAUAAUUAAAGAAAUGCAUAACAUUUCUACUAACAAUUUAGCAUUUGAUAUUCUUGUUUGCAGGCAAUUUUAAAACACAUUUAUAAAAUAAUCUCAUGAAUUUAUUGUAUCUUAUGGUAAAAUCAAACAUCUCACAACAAUGCACAACAGUUUGGUGCUAAUGUCGGCCAUCAUCCUAAUUCUUCUAGGAUUCAAUAGAUCACAAAUUUUGUGGAUGUCACAAUUUCCAAUAUCCCCUUGCACGGUUUCAAUGUGCAUCUUACAUUUCUAAGUCCAUAAUUCUGCUUCUGGAUUCAACCACUAUCAUUGUACAAGUGUAAAAGAUAAAGAGCUUACCUAGUUACCUAGUUAUCCCUGUGUUGGAGCAGUAUCCUAUGCUGCCCUGCAGAACCCCAGUUGUUGCAAACAUGAAUAGGAGACACUACAGUGCCCAUAACAACAUAGGUAAGUGAGUUAACUUGGGCAAAAUCACAAUUCAAAUGUAGAUAUUGUAAAACUGAUAAUGUGCAGUUGGCUAUUUUAUCAUAGACUUAAACUACUGAGUUUUGAAGCAUAAACAUGGCACUGAUUUCAAUUAACUUUAAUGUGGUGCAGUGGGCUGGGCUCAAUAUCAGCAAAUGCCUAAUCCUAAAUGACUCAAAUCAAUAUCAGGGAUAAAAUACCCUUACACUUUACACAAAUCCAUAUCCCAUUAAACUCAUUUUUUACAUCACAAAACAAUAUUUAUAUAACUGAGCUGGGGAUUGUGGUAUUGAGGUUGCAUGCAUAACAAGGAACAUUACAGGCUUUACACUUAAUCUUUUUAUAAAUUUUUAAAAUAUAAACUUCCACUUCCAUAACUUUCCAUUUUGUUGUGUAAGGUUGCUUUUUUGGUUUUCUGUAAUUACGUUUAAUAAUGAAAAAAACUGAUCCAUUCAAACAUGAAAAAUGUAUGCACAGAUUGCCUAAAAAUAGACUAUGAAAAUGCAUUGUUUACCACCUUUUAAAAUGCCCCCUUCAGCAAAUAACAAAAAUGGGGUGGAGGUUAACAAAACAUAAUUAUUUUUCUCUGUCAUGCAAAGUUCCACAAUCAUUUGUGUCUGAUUUAUUUGGAUGAAUGAAAUCAUGUAUGUUAAAUAUCUGAUGUUAUUUAGUGUUGUUUUUGCACAUUUUAUGAGCAGAAACAAUUGGUUAACAACAGAUGUGUGGUCAAGAGAAGAAAAUGUGGUAGAUUGAUGGUCACUGUCUUAGUGAAAGUUAUUUUUUUAAACACCGUUUUUCUUGGGUAUCUUAACUGCUACAGAUUUCACUAACAGGUGGAAAUAAUGGGAAAAAAAAAAUAUUUCCCAAUAUAUCACUUGUUUUGUGUGCUGUUGAUUUUGAAACAGGACUUCAGUUUGCCAGUUGAAUAUCAAAACGAUAUUCAUGGCCCAGUUGUCCGCUCUAAGUGGUUAAGAGCGACAUGUAUGAUCAGCCAGAGAGGUUAAGGGAGGCAACAACAAAUUGUGGGUUAGGGUACGAGGAAUAACACCAGAUGUUCCAGAUGCCCUGUUAAAUGUCUAAUUUGCAUCAAAACUUGACAACCUGAGAAAUGUAAAUGUUAAUUGACCCUAUAAUACAAAACGUAUCCUGUUUCUAAGGUUUUUCUCAAACAUCUACUGUAUCUAUGAAAUGUUAUACAUUGUCUAUAAAAAUGUUAAAUGAAAGUAAAAGUAUUAAUUGAUGUUAUGAAGUGUACCAUAUCCUUUUAUAAUGCUUGAAAAAUAUAUAUUUUUUCCUCAGAUAAUUACAUGGCCUUACAAGUCUGAUUAUGACACAAUACAAAAUUAGAAAACCA